This 1337-nucleotide ribosomal RNA is filed under the name uncultured bacterium. Its description in RNAcentral is "bacterial SSU rRNA". It matches the Rfam family "Bacterial small subunit ribosomal RNA", at positions 28 to 1381 of the family's 1533-position model. The record is from RNAcentral.
GACGAACGCUGGCGGCGUGCUUAACACAUGCAAGUCGAACGGAAAGGCCCUUCGGGGUACUCGAGUGGCGAACGGGUGAGUAACACGUGGGUGAUCUGCCCUGCACUUUGGGAUAAGCCUGGGAAACUGGGUCUAAUACCGAAUAGGACCACGCGCUUCAUGGUGUGUGGUGGAAAGCUUUUGCGGUGUGGGAUGGGCCCGCGGCCUAUCAGCUUGUUGGUGGGGUAAUGGCCUACCAAGGCGACGACGGGUAGCCGGCCUGAGAGGGUGACCGGCCACACUGGGACUGAGAUACGGCCCAGACUCCUACGGGAGGCAGCAGUGGGGAAUAUUGCACAAUGGGCGCAAGCCUGAUGCAGCGACGCCGCGUGAGGGAUGACGGCCUUCGGGUUGUAAACCUCUUUCAAUAGGGACGAAGCGCAAGUGACGGUACCUAUAGAAGAAGCACCGGCCAACUACGUGCCAGCAGCCGCGGUAAUACGUAGGGUGCGAGCGUUGUCCGGAAUUACUGGGCGUAAAGAGCUCGUAGGUGGUUUGUCGCGUUGUUCGUGAAAACUCACAGCUUAACUGUGGGCGUGCGGGCGAUACGGGCAGACUAGAGUACUGCAGGGGAGACCGGAAUUCCUGGUGUAGCGGUGGAAUGCGCAGAUAUCAGGAGGAACACCGGUGGCGAAGGCGGGUCUCUGGGCAGUAACUGACGCUGAGGAGCGAAAGCGUGGGGAGCGAACAGGAUUAGAUACCCUGGUAGUCCACGCCGUAAACGGUGGGUACUAGGUGUGGGUUCCUUCCUUGGGAUCCGUGCCGUAGCUAACGCAUUAAGUACCCCGCCUGGGGAGUACGGCCGCAAGGCUAAAACUCAAAGGAAUUGACGGGGGCCCGCACAAGCGGCGGAGCAUGUGGAUUAAUUCGAUGCAACGCGAAGAACCUUACCUGGGUUUGACAUGCACAGGACGCCGGCAGAGAUGUCGGUUCCCUUGUGGCCUGUGUGCAGGUGGUGCAUGGCUGUCGUCAGCUCGUGUCGUGAGAUGUUGGGUUAAGUCCCGCAACGAGCGCAACCCUUGUCCUAUGUUGCCAGCGGGUUAUGCCGGGGACUCGUAGGAGACUGCCGGGGUCAACUCGGAGGAAGGUGGGGAUGACGUCAAGUCAUCAUGCCCCUUAUGUCCAGGGCUUCACACAUGCUACAAUGGCCGGUACAAAGGGCUGCGAUGCCGUGAGGUGGAGCGAAUCCUUUCAAAGCCGGUCUCAGUUCGGAUCGGGGUCUGCAACUCGACCCCGUGAAGUCGGAGUCGCUAGUAAUCGCAGAUCAGCAACGCUGCGGUGAAUACGUUCCCGGGCCU